This 533-nucleotide unclassified non-coding RNA is filed under the name Athalia rosae (coleseed sawfly). RNAcentral describes it as "misc RNA ENSAEAG00005008545.1". Lineage: Eukaryota; Metazoa; Arthropoda; Insecta; Hymenoptera; Athaliidae. The record is from RNAcentral.
CGUCCAACACUCACGGAUUCGGUGCCGAGUAUCUGUUGUAAUUGUUGUUGCUCGGUUUGUGGGGGUGUCUGUUGUGCUUGUAACUCGACGGUCCAACGUUUAUGUGAACGUGAUUGCCCAUGCCCGAUAUUCUCGGUCCGACCGGCCACGAUUUCUUGUACAUCUGUGGCUGCUGAUGACGGUAUUUGUAUCUCGCGGAGCAGUUCGGCAGAAGAGCCAAGCAAACGCAGGCCACCAGAAGCCACCUCAGCCAGUUUAUCGCCUGGAGAAUAAUGAAGUAGCAAGAGGAAUUCAGUCGAGAUUUUCAUCGAUCAUCUCGCGACGACGAUCUCAUCGCGGAUCUCCGGUGACGAUUCGAUCGCUAUUCGGAAGCUGUGAUAUUCGGGAUAAUCGUUGAACAGGACUUUGGAAUGUUGAUUGUUCAACGGCUGCAACUUUAAUCCUGAGAUGACGUUCCCGGAUUCUUUCGGCUUCGGGUGCAGACUGUUUCUUUUCUGCGCAGCCAAGCCGUUGUGAAGACCAUAGUCAUGGAG